AGCAGCCGCGGUAAUUCCAGCUCCAAUAGCGUAUAUUAAAGUUGUUGCAGUUAAAAAGCUCGUAGUUGAAUUUCGGGAUCAGCAAGUUGGUCGUGCCACUGGUAUGUACUGGCUUUGCUGAUUCCUCCUUCUUGUAGAACCGUAAUGCCAUUAAUUUGGUGUUGCGGGGAAACAGGACUGUUACUUUGAAAAAAUUAGAGUGUUUAAAGCAGGCUAACGCUUGAAUACAUUAGCAUGGAAUAAUGAAAUAGGACGAGCGAUCCUAUUUUGUUGGUUUCUAGGAUUGACGUAAUGAUUAAUAGGGAUAGUUGGGGGCAUUAGUAUUCAAUUGUCAGAGGUGAAAUUCUUGGAUUUAUUGAAGACUAACUACUGCGAAAGCAUUUGCCAAGGAUGUUUUCAUUAAUCAAGAACGAAAGUUAGGGGAUCGAAGACGAUCAGAUACCGUCGUAG
This 450-nucleotide ribosomal RNA is filed under the name uncultured Glomeromycotina. RNAcentral's name for it is "SSU rRNA". It matches the Rfam family "Eukaryotic small subunit ribosomal RNA", at positions 569 to 1023 of the family's 1831-position model. The record is from RNAcentral. Lineage: Eukaryota; Fungi; Glomeromycota.